UGGGGAAUAUUGCACAAUGGAGGGAACUCUGAUGCAGCGACGCUGCGUGAGUGAUGAAGGAAUUCGUUUCGUAAAACUCUGCUCUAUGGGAAGAAAAGGACUGUACUAUAGGAGAAAGCUCCGGCUAAAUACGUGCCAGCAGCCGCGGUAAUACGUAUGGAGCGAGCGUUGUCCGGAAUUAUUGGGCGUAAAGGGUGCGCAGGCGGCUUUACAAGUUGGAUGUGAAAUAUUGUGGCUCAACCACAAACGUGCAUCCAAAACUGCAAAGCUUGAGUUAAGGAGAGGUAAGUAGAAUUCCUGGUGUAGCGGUGGAAUGCGUAGAUAUCAGGAGGAAUACCGGUGGCGAAGGCGACUUACUGGACUUAAACUGACGCUCAGGCACGAAAGCGUGGGGAGCAAACAGG
This 404-nucleotide ribosomal RNA is filed under the name Fusobacteriota bacterium. Its description in RNAcentral is "Fusobacteria bacterium partial 16S ribosomal RNA". It matches the Rfam family "Bacterial small subunit ribosomal RNA", at positions 355 to 776 of the family's 1533-position model. The record is from RNAcentral. Lineage: Bacteria; Fusobacteriati; Fusobacteriota.